This 501-nucleotide ribosomal RNA is filed under the name uncultured bacterium. RNAcentral's name for it is "bacterial SSU rRNA". It matches the Rfam family "Bacterial small subunit ribosomal RNA", at positions 29 to 506 of the family's 1533-position model. The record is from RNAcentral.
AACGAACGCUGGCGGCGUGCUUAAUACAUGCAAGUCGAGCGAGAAAGUGGCUUCGGCCAUGAGUAAAGCGGCAGACGGGUGAGUAAUACAUAAGUAACUUUCCUCUAAGUUGGGGAUAACCUUCCGAAAGGAGGGCUAAUACCGAAUAAGAUCACAGGGACCUCGGUCCCAGGGAUUAAAGGUGGCCUCUACUUGUAAGCUAUCGCUUAGAGAUAGGCUUAUGCACCAUUAGCAGUUGGUGAGGUAACGGCUCACCAAAGCGAUGAUGGUUAGCUGAUCUGAGAGGUUGAUCAGCCACACUGGAACUGAGACACGGUCCAGACUCCUACGGGAGGCAGCAGUAGGGAAUAUUGCGCAAUGGAGGAAACUCUGACGCAGCGACGCCGCGUGGGCGAUGAAGGUCUUCGGAUCGUAAANCCCUGUCGGAAGGGAAGAAGGUAAUUUGGCUAACAUCCAAGUUAUUUGACGGUACCUUAAGAGGAAGCACCGGCUAAACUACGU